UUUUAAGCUAAUAAAUAAGGCUAAAUAGCUAACUGUAAUUUUAAUUGUUAGUUUUCUGUGCCUGUUUACUUCCCACAACACUCCAACACAACACAUGUUAGAGCAUCAUAAAGAGAUGUAAGCACAUGAAUCAGUCUGUGCUAACUGCCCUGCUCACCUCACCUCACUCUCAGUGUUUGGACUGGGUUAAUGACCUGUAUUGAAUUACCCCACACAGGGCAUGUUGAUUACCUGAGCAACAAGUGUCUUUCUGACCUCCAGUUUCACCCAGGCUCGCUGCUUCCACGCAAGCCUUUGACUUUAGUCUGCGUAAGAGCUGGACUGGGAGAGAUUUAAGGGGGAAAUGGCUUCAAAAGAAGCUCGUACGCUAGCUAACGUUAGCCUCCCAGCCCACUGGAGGGAUGUCAGAGAGUGGAGUAUGGAGAAAAGACAGAGCUACGAAAUGUGGGUGCUAGAUGUAGAGAGUGUCCUUAACUCGAUGGCUAGACAGCUGAGUCUUUCUCUGGAGAAAUAUCCGAGAGAGAAGCACAAUGAUGGCUUUUCAUCCUCUUCAACCAAACGGAGGCUGCCUUUCCAUUACCCAGCUCUUACACUGUGAUCAGCCAUAAUCCUGUACCAGUAGAUCACCUGGUUUGACUCACCGCAUAACCUCCUGAGAACCAUGAAUUGAUCCACGUCUACAACCAGACUCCCAGUUAAAAGUCCUGGACUAUGUUCCCAAAAAUCUUGGUCAUGUGACUGCCCUAGAAAAGUCCUAAAUGAGUUCACAGUGCAGUAUGAUAGCUUUGUCACUAAACGCAUUAUUGUGGCAUCUUGUUGUGUCUGCUUUCUCCUCUCUGCUGAAAAUAAAGUUUUGUCUGACCUCA
RNAcentral lists this long non-coding RNA (866 nucleotides) under Astyanax mexicanus (Mexican tetra). RNAcentral describes it as "lncRNA (ENSAMXG00005020861.1)". Lineage: Eukaryota; Metazoa; Chordata; Actinopteri; Characiformes; Acestrorhamphidae. The record is from RNAcentral.